UGUGCCUACGGGAGGCAGCAGUGAGGAAUAUUGGUCAAUGGGCUUACGCCUGAACCAGCCAAGUCGCGCGAGGGAAGACUGCCCUAUGGGUUGUAAACCUCUUUUGUCAGGGAGCAACGCUGGCUACGUGUAGCCGGACUGAGAGUACCUGAAGAAAAAGCAUCGGCUAACUCCGUGCCAGCAGCCGCGGUAAUACGGAGGAUGCGAGCGUUAUCCGGAUUUAUUGGGUUUAAAGGGUGCGCAGGCGGAGGUGCAAGUCAGCGGUCAAAUUGCGGGGCUCAACCCCGUACUGCCGUUGAAACUGG
Molecule: ribosomal RNA, 305 nt
Filed under: uncultured bacterium
Lineage: Bacteria
Description: bacterial SSU rRNA
Rfam family: Bacterial small subunit ribosomal RNA
Source: RNAcentral